GACGAACGCUGGCGGCGUGCCUAAUACAUGCAAGUUGAGCGAUGAAGCUUGGUGCUUGCACCAAUUUGAAGAGCAGCGAACGGGUGAGUAACGCGUGGGGAAUCUGCCUUUGAGCGGGGGACAACAUUUGGAAACGAAUGCUAAUACCGCAUAAUAACUUUAAACAUAAGUUUUAAGCUUGAAAGAUGCAAUUGCAUCACUCAAAGAUGAUCCCGCGUUGUAUUAGCUAGUUGGUGAGGUAAAGGCUCACCAAGGCGAUGAUACAUAGCCGACCUGAGAGGGUGAUCGGCCACAUUGGGACUGAGACACGGCCCAAACUCCUACGGGAGGCAGCAGUAGGGAAUCUUCGGCAAUGGACGAAAGUCUGACCGAGCAACGCCGCGUGAGUGAAGAAGGUUUUCGGAUCGUAAAACUCUGUUGGUAGAGAAGAACGUUGGUGAGAGUGGAAAGCUCAUCAAGUGACGGUAACUACCCAGAAAGGGACGGCUAACUACGUG
This 497-nucleotide ribosomal RNA is filed under the name uncultured bacterium. RNAcentral's name for it is "partial 16S ribosomal RNA". It matches the Rfam family "Bacterial small subunit ribosomal RNA", at positions 28 to 507 of the family's 1533-position model. The record is from RNAcentral.